This 85-nucleotide transfer RNA is filed under the name Colletotrichum falcatum. RNAcentral describes it as "tRNA-Asp". It matches the Rfam family "tRNA". Rfam says of the family: Transfer RNA (tRNA) molecules are approximately 80 nucleotides in length. Lineage: Eukaryota; Fungi; Ascomycota; Sordariomycetes; Glomerellales; Glomerellaceae. The record is from RNAcentral.
UCCCCGAUAGUCUAGUGGUGAGGAUAUCUGCUUGUCAAAUUCAAACGAUUCGCAGGGGACCGGGGUUCAAUUCCCCGUCGAGGAG